CAGGGCCAGGGGGUUUUGGGUUGAGACUGGCCAUUGAUGCUUACAGAUGAGUCCUGGUACAAAAAAGGUUGAGAGCCACUGGUCUAGAGGUCC
Molecule: long non-coding RNA, 93 nt
Organism: Gavialis gangeticus (Gharial)
Lineage: Eukaryota; Metazoa; Chordata; Crocodylia; Gavialidae
Exons: 3
Source: RefSeq, a predicted model, not a curated record